RNAcentral lists this ribosomal RNA (2900 nucleotides) under Escherichia coli DEC2C. RNAcentral's name for it is "bacterial LSU rRNA". It matches the Rfam family "Bacterial large subunit ribosomal RNA". Lineage: Bacteria; Pseudomonadati; Pseudomonadota; Gammaproteobacteria; Enterobacterales; Enterobacteriaceae. The record is from RNAcentral.
UAAGCGACUAAGCGUACACGGUGGAUGCCCUGGCAGUCAGAGGCGAUGAAGGACGUGCUAAUCUGCGAUAAGCGUCGGUGAGGUGAUAUGAACCGUUAUAACCGGCGAUUUCCGAAUGGGGAAACCCAGUGUGAUUCGUCACACUAUCAUUAACUGAAUCCAUAGGUUAAUGAGGCGAACCGGGGGAACUGAAACAUCUAAGUACCCCGAGGAAAAGAAAUCAACCGAGAUUCCCCCAGUAGCGGCGAGCGAACGGGGAGGAGCCCAGAGCCUGAAUCAGUGUGUGUGUUAGUGGAAGCGUCUGGAAAGGCGUGCGAUACAGGGUGACAGCCCCGUACACAAAAAUGCACAUAUUGUGAGCUCGAUGAGUAGGGCGGGACACGUGGUAUCCUGUCUGAAUAUGGGGGGACCAUCCUCCAAGGCUAAAUACUCCUGACUGACCGAUAGUGAACCAGUACCGUGAGGGAAAGGCGAAAAGAACCCCGGCGAGGGGAGUGAAAAAGAACCUGAAACCGUGUACGUACAAGCAGUGGGAGCCUCUUAAUGGGGUGACUGCGUACCUUUUGUAUAAUGGGUCAGCGACUUAUAUUCUGUAGCAAGGUUAACCGAAUAGGGGAGCCGAAGGGAAACCGAGUCUUAACUGGGCGUUAAGUUGCAGGGUAUAGACCCGAAACCCGGUGAUCUAGCCAUGGGCAGGUUGAAGGUUGGGUAACACUAACUGGAGGACCGAACCGACUAAUGUUGAAAAAUUAGCGGAUGACUUGUGGCUGGGGGUGAAAGGCCAAUCAAACCGGGAGAUAGCUGGUUCUCCCCGAAAGCUAUUUAGGUAGCGCCUCGUGAAUUCAUCUCCGGGGGUAGAGCACUGUUUCGGCAAGGGGGUCAUCCCGACUUACCAACCCGAUGCAAACUGCGAAUACCGGAGAAUGUUAUCACGGGAGACACACGGCGGGUGCUAACGUCCGUCGUGAAGAGGGAAACAACCCAGACCGCCAGCUAAGGUCCCAAAGUCAUGGUUAAGUGGGAAACGAUGUGGGAAGGCCCAGACAGCCAGGAUGUUGGCUUAGAAGCAGCCAUCAUUUAAAGAAAGCGUAAUAGCUCACUGGUCGAGUCGGCCUGCGCGGAAGAUGUAACGGGGCUAAACCAUGCACCGAAGCUGCGGCAGCGACACUAUGUGUUGUUGGGUAGGGGAGCGUUCUGUAAGCCUGUGAAGGUGGCCUGUGAGGGUUGCUGGAGGUAUCAGAAGUGCGAAUGCUGACAUAAGUAACGAUAAAGCGGGUGAAAAGCCCGCUCGCCGGAAGACCAAGGGUUCCUGUCCAACGUUAAUCGGGGCAGGGUGAGUCGACCCCUAAGGCGAGGCCGAAAGGCGUAGUCGAUGGGAAACAGGUUAAUAUUCCUGUACUUGGUGUUACUGCGAAGGGGGGACGGAGAAGGCUAUGUUGGCCGGGCGACGGUUGUCCCGGUUUAAGCGUGUAGGCUGGUUUUCCAGGCAAAUCCGGAAAAUCAAGGCUGAGGCGUGAUGACGAGGCACUACGGUGCUGAAGCGACAAAUGCCCUGCUUCCAGGAAAAGCCUCUAAGCAUCAGGUAACAUCAAAUCGUACCCCAAACCGACACAGGUGGUCAGGUAGAGAAUACCAAGGCGCUUGAGAGAACUCGGGUGAAGGAACUAGGCAAAAUGGUGCCGUAACUUCGGGAGAAGGCACGCUGAUAUGUAGGUGAAGCGACUUGCUCGUGGAGCUGAAAUCAGUCGAAGAUACCAGCUGGCUGCAACUGUUUAUUAAAAACACAGCACUGUGCAAACACGAAAGUGGACGUAUACGGUGUGACGCCUGCCCGGUGCCGGAAGGUUAAUUGAUGGGGUUAGCGGUAACGCGAAGCUCUUGAUCGAAGCCCCGGUAAACGGCGGCCGUAACUAUAACGGUCCUAAGGUAGCGAAAUUCCUUGUCGGGUAAGUUCCGACCUGCACGAAUGGCGUAAUGAUGGCCAGGCUGUCUCCACCCGAGACUCAGUGAAAUUGAACUCGCUGUGAAGAUGCAGUGUACCCGCGGCAAGACGGAAAGACCCCGUGAACCUUUACUAUAGCUUGACACUGAACAUUGAGCCUUGAUGUGUAGGAUAGGUGGGAGGCUUUGAAGUGUGGACGCCAGUCUGCAUGGAGCCGGCCUUGAAAUACCACCCUUUAAUGUUUGAUGUUCUAACGUUGGCCCGUAAUCCGGGUUGCGGACAGUGUCUGGUGGGUAGUUUGACUGGGGCGGUCUCCUCCUAAAGAGUAACGGAGGAGCACGAAGGUUGGCUAAUCCUGGUCGGACAUCAGGAGGUUAGUGCAAUGGCAUAAGCCAGCUUGACUGCGAGCGUGACGGCGCGAGCAGGUGCGAAAGCAGGUCAUAGUGAUCCGGUGGUUCUGAAUGGAAGGGCCAUCGCUCAACGGAUAAAAGGUACUCCGGGGAUAACAGGCUGAUACCGCCCAAGAGUUCAUAUCGACGGCGGUGUUUGGCACCUCGAUGUCGGCUCAUCACAUCCUGGGGCUGAAGUAGGUCCCAAGGGUAUGGCUGUUCGCCAUUUAAAGUGGUACGCGAGCUGGGUUUAGAACGUCGUGAGACAGUUCGGUCCCUAUCUGCCGUGGGCGCUGGAGAACUGAGGGGGGCUGCUCCUAGUACGAGAGGACCGGAGUGGACGCAUCACUGGUGUUCGGGUUGUCAUGCCAAUGGCACUGCCCGGUAGCUAAAUGCGGAAGAGAUAAGUGCUGAAAGCAUCUAAGCACGAAACUUGCCCCGAGAUGAGUUCUCCCUGACCCUUUAAGGGUCCUGAAGGAACGUUGAAGACGACGACGUUGAUAGGCCGGGUGUGUAAGCGCAGCGAUGCGUUGAGCUAACCGGUACUAAUGAACCGUGAGGCUUAACCU